This 425-nucleotide ribosomal RNA is filed under the name uncultured bacterium. Its description in RNAcentral is "partial 16S ribosomal RNA". It matches the Rfam family "Bacterial small subunit ribosomal RNA", at positions 354 to 796 of the family's 1533-position model. The record is from RNAcentral.
GUGGGGAAUAUUGCACAAUGGGGGAAACCCUGAUGCAGCAACGCCGCGUGAGUGAUGAAGGCCUUCGGGUUGUAAAGCUCUGUCUUUGGGGACGAUAAUGACGGUACCCAAGGAGGAAGCCACGGCUAACUACGUGCCAGCAGCCGCGGUAAUACGUAGGUGGCAAGCGUUGUCCGGAUUUACUGGGCGUAAAGGAUGCGGAGGUGGAUAUUUAAGUGGGAUGUGAAAUACCCGGGCUCAACUUGGGUGCUGCAUUACAAACUGGAUAUCUAGAGUGCAGGAGAGGUAAGUGGAAUUCCUAGUGUAGCGGUGAAAUGCGUAGAGAUUAGGAAGAACACCAGUGGCGAAGGCGACUUACUGGACUGUAACUGACACUGAGGCAUGAAAGCGUGGGGAGCAAACAGGAUUAGAUACCCCAGUAGUCC